Molecule: transfer RNA, 67 nt
Filed under: Tenerus flavicollis
Lineage: Eukaryota; Metazoa; Arthropoda; Insecta; Coleoptera; Cleridae
Description: tRNA-Val
Source: RNAcentral
CAAAUUAGAGCUUGAUAAAGUUUUUUAUUUACAUUAAAAAGAUAAUUAUUUAAUUAAUUUAAUUUGA